GCCCUGACUGCAUGGUAGGGCACACUCUCGCACAAUGCGAGGGCCGGGAACCGGUCAUUCCAGGCAAUUACGUUUGAAGGCACCCGACCACGCCUU
Molecule: non-coding RNA, 96 nt
Filed under: Prevotella brunnea
Lineage: Bacteria; Pseudomonadati; Bacteroidota; Bacteroidia; Bacteroidales; Prevotellaceae
Description: engA RNA
Rfam family: engA RNA
Source: RNAcentral